Molecule: ribosomal RNA, 237 nt
Filed under: uncultured bacterium
Lineage: Bacteria
Description: partial 16S ribosomal RNA
Rfam family: Bacterial small subunit ribosomal RNA
Source: RNAcentral
CCGGCACGGGUGAGUAACACGUAUCCAACCUGCCGUCUACUCUUGGACAGCCUUCUGAAAGGAAGAUUAAUACAAGAUGGCAUCAUGAGUUCACAUGUUCACAUGAUUAAAGGUAUUCCGGUAGACGAUGGGGAUGCGUUCCAUUAGAUAGUAGGCGGGGUAACGGCCCACCUAGUCGACGAUGGAUAGGGGUUCUGAGAGGAAGGUCCCCCACAUUGGAACUGAGACACGGUCUAA